RNAcentral lists this ribosomal RNA (6069 nucleotides) under Triticum aestivum (bread wheat). RNAcentral describes it as "partial small subunit ribosomal RNA". Lineage: Eukaryota; Viridiplantae; Streptophyta; Magnoliopsida; Poales; Poaceae. The record is from RNAcentral.
AUGGACAAAUCGCGGGGCUCUUCUUGCGAGGCGCUCUCGGGCAGCAAGCGGCGCCGUGAGGACUCCCCUGCCUCUGCGGUGGAUCUGGAGCUCGAGGCUUCGCUCCGUUCCAAGCUGGAGGCGGAGCAGGCGGCGCGCGAGCAGGUGGAUCGUGGCCGCGAGGCCUGGGCCUCGGGUCCGGAGUGGUUGCAGCGCUCGGUGAGGGAGGGUGUGCCUGGAUCUGGUCCACAGGGCUCUGGAUCUGGCCCGUCUCUUACUCCGGUGCUGGACCCGUGGGAGGCGGCGGUGGCUUCUGGUGGCGGGGUUUCUGCGUCUUCAGCCUCCCUGCCUGCUGCGGGUGUGGGGCGUGAUUCGUUUGCUCCGUCGCGUCUUCCCCAUCCUCCUCGCGUGGCUGGGGUCGAUGCUGGUGCUCGCCCGCUGUCUCGGUCCUUCGCGGGGCCGGCGCGCCGGCCGCCCGGCCCGGCCUCUGGGGCGCCCCUCUCCCGGGGAUGGGGGAUGGGAUCCUUCCUCCUCCUCCGUCGCUUCCGCAAUCCCGCCCGUCCUCUGCUUCCCAUAGCAAUCCCUCGGCGCUCACCUGCUUCGCCUGCCACAGGCCUGAAGCCUCCCGCGGUCCUCCAGUUCGGCUCGGGCCUCCACGGAUGCGCCUUUUUCGCAUUCGACGGUGACUUGCCUGUCCGGGAGGUGGCGCCUGCUUUGUCUAAUGCUGCGAUUGUCACGGUAAAGGAUCAAAAGAUUUCGCCCCAAACUCUUCUGGAAGGGCUCCACAUUUGGGAUGAGGCUGGAUGGGACUGGCAAGUAGUGCAGGUAUCUGAUUAUGAGUUCUCUGUGGUGUUUCCCUCCAAAGAAUGUUUGCGGAUGAUUGCCUCUUGCACUAGCUUCACCUUGCCCCUCAAUCAAUUGGUGGUCUCUGUCAAAGCGACGUCUUGCAAUGGUACGGCAGUUGGUCCUCUCUCCCCAGUCUGGGUUCUGAUUGAUGAUCUGCCUGCUGGCCUUCGUUCGUCUGCUUUUCUCAUGUCUUUUGGGGUUUUGAUUGGGAAGCCCAUGGAGGUGGAUGAGGAAUCUCUGAACAAGGUUGGCCCUGCUAGGAUGAAGGUUUGGUGUGUGGAUCCCGAUCGUGUGCAUGGAUUGAUUGAUGUCUUCCCUUUUCCCAAUGGUAUCAGACUUCGGGUGCGGGUGGAGGGGGCGGCUGUUUUUCAGGCUCCACCUCCCCCUCCUCCUCCUUCUAAUCCCUCGGACAAGCAUGACAAGGAGGGGGACGGAUCUUUGGCUGGCCCUAAUCAGAGCAAUGGGUCUAACCUCCGCUUCACCCAAUCUGAAUGGGAUGGUUUGGCUGAUUCUGAACGAGAGUUGUUUCACUCCCAAGCUCCUUCUGGUGUUGCUCCCCGUGAGGAUAUGGCGAUCCCGUCUGCUGCUCCGACUGUCCAUGCUGCUGGUGCUGAUCUGAUGAAGUUCCCUCCCUGCUCUGCUAGACCCGUAUCUGGUGCUUGCUCCAACCUUCCGGUUCGCCUGCUCUCCCCCACUCGCUCGGGAAUUGAAGAUCUUCCUGCCUCCCCUGCUCGCGACGUGAUGGAGUCCCAGUCCCUUCGGAAGAAGAAAUCCUCAGUGCGCAAAUUCUCGGCUAAGAGCAGGAACUCGUUGGGCUCGAAGCAAUCCAUGACGGGGGUCUGCCGGCGUCUUGAUAAGGAUAUGGGAUCUAUGUCUCGUUCGGGUCCCCCUCCGGUCUCUCCUGCUGCGUGGUCGCCUGCUAUUCGGUCUCCUGUGUCCACGGCUCGCAAAGGAAGGCGGGUGGCAAAUUCGGGUGGUUCUAUCCUGGAGCGGGCUGAGAAGCGGGCUGCGGCGAAGGAUCUCCCUCCCCCAGAUUCAAUUGGCACUUCUUACCUGCUUCGGGUCACUCUGGUGGCGGCUAAUAAUUGGGAUCUGGCGUUUCGUCGGGCCCUGUCUCCUGAAGAGUUGGAAGAUUGGCAAAGUCUCUCUGCCCUCUUCCCCGUGCUCUCGGAGUCGGCCGAUUCUGUGGUCUGGCCUCAUUCGGCCUCAGGCACUGGCGACGGGAUUGCAGGGAUCCUGUGAGUCCUUCGCCACCGGCUCGGCAUCACCGCGGUCCGCUUUGCCGGCUCGGCUGUGGGCACGGCUUUCGUUGUUUUCCAGCGUGAGUCCGAGCAGGCCGCUGCUCUGCGUGCGAGCCCGUUGGAGGUGGGCGACCACACCGUCUGGAUCCUCCCACACAACGCAGGCGAUAAUGCUUUCCGCUUUGCUUACCGCCACGUCGUCAGCCUCUCGCUCGAGAAGUUACCCCUGGAGCUGUGGAAUCGGCAGGGGGUGGCGGCGUGCGUAGCCGGGUUCGCCAGCCUCUUCCGCCUCAAGCACGCGUGCCUCCACGGCAGCGAAUUCUCCAGGUCCUCAUCAAAGUUGAGGCUCUGCAUCACAUCCCCCACCACAUCACCUUUUCACCGUGUUGACGGCAAUGGUAUCUACGCUGAUGUUACCAUCAACGAGAUUUGGGAUGUUGCUCGCUCCCUCGGUGCUCCCACGGUCACGCCGCGCCCGCCCGGUCGCCUCGAGGAGGGAGGCGCCGACGCCCCCGCUCCGCCCUCCCUUCGCCGUGGGCGUGCUCACCACGGGUCCUCCAGGGGCCGCGGGCAUGCGAGCGCUAGAGAGGGCAUGGCUGACUGCGCUUUUCGCGCUUUCCUGUUCCCAGAAAUGGCCGCUCCGACCGACUUUCUGGCCAUGCUCAAACUGGCGGCCAAGCCCAAGCUUAUCAGAGGAUCCACUUUCUCCCUGCCGUCUGAGGCUCAAAUCCUGCACGAGGAUGAGCUAAGUCUAUGUCUCCACUCCUCACUAUGGGCGGCGGAGGUGCGCACGCCGCGAGUCUCAGUCACCUUUGAUACCGAAGGCAUGUGCUUCUCCUUCAAGCUCGAGCUCAACAAUAGUCGGAUCGCCUCGGGUUCUAUCCCAGUUCGCCUACUAUCGUUCGAUGAUGGCUUCUUUCCUUGCUUCGACUACACCAAGGGGGUUCUGGCGCGGGAAAAUUCUCGCUCUCUCCUUUUCAACUUCCUGCCUAAGCUGCUGACCGGUGGGUCGUGUCCCCGCACACUUCCACUGCUCCCCUCCAUUGAAUGUAGACACCCACCCAAACCAAAUGUGCCUGUUGGGCUGCUCCCUGCGGUUGGGCCUAUGCUUGUCCUUUCCGGUGAUGGGCCCCUGUCGGAUGUCCAGUUCCCGUCCCAGCAGCACUAUCGGGCCCACCAGAUCCUUGUGGCCCGGCCUAUAUGCUCCAGGCCUUUUCAUCACAUCCCUUGGCCUGAGCCUGGGGUCCUGCCGUGUGGUCAACCAUCUCCAAUUCUCUCCACCGAUCUGCAGCACGGUGCUUGCGCCGCGCUUUCGCCCCAGGUCGCCACCGUCUUCUGCAGUUGCCGCGGGCCGCCUUGCGAGCCGAGCGCCAGAGAUCUCCUGGCCAAGCCUCUGCUCCCACUCUUCCCUGCUCCUCUCCAGGGUGCGGGGCCUGUGGUCGCAGCCGCCCCGGUCGAUCUUGACCUGAACAAGGCGGUCGAGAUCCAUCCUCUGGAAUCAGGCGACCAGGGGUGCCACGGGGAGGGUACUAAGCCUGCCUUCGAUCAGCAGGGCGCGGAGGAGGAGCUUCCGCCAGUGCUCACUGCUUCGCCCUGGUGUAGCCCGCGCAUCAGCCGCACUUACGACGGCGUGCGCCUCGGCUCUGUCGAGCGUGCGGCUAAGCGGAAGGCAGUGGCGGCUGGAUCUGACUCCAGUUCUGGGCCGUCACUGGAUCCGACUCCAGUUCUGGGCCGUCACGACGGCCUGGAAACAAAGCUGCCAUCCAUCUCCGCCUUCAAGUUACGAGCCUUCUUGCCCACAAAUCUCAAGGAGCAUGCUGUUACUCCGUCUGAUGGCGCGGCCGAAGGUAUCUUGGUUGCUUGGGACCCUGCAGUGUUUCUCAGUCAGGUGGUUGCGCUGCACAGGUUUCAUACAACUCUGAAGUUGGUUUCUACAUCAACAAACAACACGAUCUGCCUCACUGCUGUUUAUGCACCUCAUCUGCAAAAUGAGAGAUCAAGCUUCUUUGAGGCGUGGUGUCGUUCUAAGCCCAGUCUACGGAUCCUUGUGGACAAUAAUAAGCAUGUGGUGGCUUAUCUGAAUGCUGUUGAAGAGUUGAGGCCGCUCUCUCCUAUUGAAGCUGUGCUCAGGGUCUCUGCGGCUGCCAAGGCCGAGCACCUGAUCCUAUGGCAAACUGCUGCUUGGCGUCGUAGGGCCAAGUUACACUGGUGUGUGUCCGGGGACAAAAACAACCAGUUCUUUCACGCGGCGGCCAAUCACCAAGCUCGACGCAACAAGAUCAGAGUGUUGGUUCAUGAAGGAGUGGAAUUUUUUGAUACUUCGCAGAAGUUGCGUUUGGCUACAGAUUAUUUCAGGGAGAUCUUGGGACAACCUAUAGUCUCGACGGAUGCCGUUGAUGUUGCCUCUUUAUAUACUCCGCUCGACCUAUCAGAGCUAACAGCAGAUUUCUCAUGGGCUGAGAUCGUGCAAGCUAUCAACUGCUCGCCCAAUAACCGGAGUCCGGGUCCUGAUGGCUUUACUAACGAGUUCUACAAGACCUUCAAGCUGCUGAUCAAGGAUGACCUGUUAAGUUUCUUUACUGCUUUCCAUAAGAACGAAGUGAACCUCUCGGGCGUCAACUCUGCUUUCAUCACACUGCUGCCAAAGAAAGAUACACCUCUGGAGAUACGUGAUUUCAGGCCGAUCUCUCUCGUGCAUAGCUUACCUAAGUUGGCUUCGAAGGUUCUGGCUAGCCGGCUCAAAGUAAGGAUCCCUCACUUGAUCCACACGCUUCAGUCCGGUUUCCUAAGGGGCAGAUCGAUCGUUGAGAACCUUGCCUUAGCUGCAGAAAUGAUCCAGUAUGCUCAUAAAAGAAAAAUGCCAGUCAUUGAUUUGAAGCUAGAUUUUCAUAAGGCCUUUGAUAGUGUGAGUUGGUGCUGCCUUCACAAGAUACUUGAUGCCAGGGGCUUCCCACAUGUGUGGCAAAACUGGAUACAUGCCCUCUUGUCCACUGGCAGCUCUAGAGUUCUGCUAAAUGGGGAGCUGGGCCCUUCCAUCACGGCAAAGAAAGGUUUUCGACAAGGGGAUUCUCUAUCUCCCUACCUUUUCAUCCUUGUCGCUGAUGUGCUGCAGAGGAUGUGCUGCCAGAGGUUUCAGAAUGGCUGCUUAAUGCACCCGCUUGGUUCAGACAGCUUCUUCCCAGUUCUACAGUAUGCAGGUGACACGCUCAUCCUUUUUCAUGGCAGCACGCAGCAAGCUGAAGUCGUUAAGUCAGUCCUCACAACUUUCUCUGGUUUUUCUGGGCUCACUAUAAACUUUCACAAGAGCACUCUAGUGCAUGUUGCUGUGGACACAAACACUGCCUCUGCUAUUGCACAGAUUCUUGGCUGCCCGGUCUCCGCCUUUCCUUGCACGUACUUGGGUCUACCUCUAUCCCUGCACAAAAUUACUCAUGGUAAUGAAGACAAACACAUCCAUGUCUCUGGCACUGGGCAGCUCAGCACGAGACAUUACUACAGUCUGCUUACCUUCAGGGGAGUUUCCGCGACUUUCAACCCAUGGGUCUGGGAUUCGUUGGUUCCCCUUAAGCAUAGAAGUUUCCUCUGGCUUGCUUUUAAAGGACGUCUCAACACCAAGGACAACAUGGUUAAGAAGGGAUGGUCAGUCGUUGCACCUUUUGCACACUAUGAUACCUGUCCUACGGUGGAAUCUGUUGAUCAUCUGCUGCUGCGUUGUGUCCAGACUUCUGUUCUUUGGUCUAAACUGGCACUGGGCUCCUUGGCUUGCUCAACGCCUAACAUUUUAGCCUUCGUCCAACAGGCACAACACCAGCUAAGUUUCAAACGACAAUGGAACGUGGCCUUUGCAGCAUGUGCACUCACUCUAUGGCAUGCUAGAAAUGAUCGGGUUUUCAACAACAAGGUUUGGUCUCAGGCUUACCUUCAAUUCUAUGCGGCAAACAUGCUAAAUCUGUGGAGCAACAGAGCCCGUACCCAAGCUGUCAAGGAGGACAUACAAAUCUAA